RNAcentral lists this unclassified non-coding RNA (389 nucleotides) under fungal sp. Its description in RNAcentral is "partial internal transcribed spacer region". The stretch from base 1 to 46 matches the Rfam family "Eukaryotic small subunit ribosomal RNA", at positions 1786 to 1831 of the family's 1831-position model. The record is from RNAcentral. Lineage: Eukaryota; Fungi.
AAGUCGUAACAAGGUUUCCGUAGGUGAACCUGCGGAAGGAUCAUUAUCACGUUAUCCACGUAUAAACCAUCGUGAACCGUUAUCGCCUCCGAUAGCACAGCGUAGUAAGCUCAGCCGAGAUUUUAUUUUUCCUUUCGGGAAUGAUGAUUUAUCUGCACCUGCCGCCGCUUAUUAUGGCUUAUCCAUUGCUGAUGAGAACCCAUGGGAGUCUGACCCAGAAAGUCAGUCGAAGCAGAGCUCAUCAUUGUCGCUACGGAGUGUAUUUUCACCUCAUUUACCAUUUUAACCAAACUUUUAACCUUUUAAACUAAUUUUUAUUUUAUACUCUUCGGAGAUAAAAUUCAUUACGAAACAAAGAACAACUCUUAGCAACGGAUAUCUUGGUUCUC